This 76-nucleotide transfer RNA is filed under the name Paracoccaceae bacterium. Its description in RNAcentral is "Rhodobacteraceae bacterium tRNA-Arg". It matches the Rfam family "tRNA". Rfam says of the family: Transfer RNA (tRNA) molecules are approximately 80 nucleotides in length. Lineage: Bacteria; Pseudomonadati; Pseudomonadota; Alphaproteobacteria; Rhodobacterales; Paracoccaceae. The record is from RNAcentral.
GCGCUGGUAGCUCAGUGGAUAGAGUACUUGACUACGAAUCAAGGGGUCGGGGGUUCGAAUCCCUCUCAGCGCGCCA